CAAAGUGUAGCUUAACCAAAGCCCCUCGCUUACACCGAGAACAUAUCCGUUUAACCCGGAUCAUUUUGA
Molecule: transfer RNA, 69 nt
Filed under: Scinax peixotoi
Lineage: Eukaryota; Metazoa; Chordata; Amphibia; Anura; Hylidae
Description: tRNA-Val
Source: RNAcentral